This 425-nucleotide ribosomal RNA is filed under the name uncultured bacterium. RNAcentral's name for it is "partial 16S ribosomal RNA". It matches the Rfam family "Bacterial small subunit ribosomal RNA", at positions 354 to 796 of the family's 1533-position model. The record is from RNAcentral.
GUGGGGAAUCUUAGACAAUGGGCGCAAGCCUGAUCUAGCCAUGCCGCGUGAGCGAUGAAGGCCUUAGGGUUGUAAAGCUCUUUCAGUGGGGAAGAUAAUGACUGUACCCACAGAAGAAGCCCCGGCUAACUCCGUGCCAGCAGCCGCGGUAAUACGGAGGGGGCUAGCGUUGUUCGGAAUUACUGGGCGUAAAGCGCACGUAGGCGGACUGGAAAGUCAGGGGUGAAAUCCCGGGGCUCAACCCCGGAACUGCCUUUGAAACUCCCAGUCUUGAGGUCGAGAGAGGUGAGUGGAAUUCCGAGUGUAGAGGUGAAAUUCGUAGAUAUUCGGAGGAACACCAGUGGCGAAGGCGGCUCACUGGCUCGAUACUGACGCUGAGGUGCGAAAGCGUGGGGAGCAAACAGGAUUAGAAACCCCUGUAGUCC